This 589-nucleotide ribosomal RNA is filed under the name uncultured bacterium. RNAcentral's name for it is "partial 16S ribosomal RNA". It matches the Rfam family "Bacterial small subunit ribosomal RNA", at positions 355 to 1376 of the family's 1533-position model. The record is from RNAcentral.
UGGGGAAUCUUCCGCAAUGGACGAAAGUCUGACGGAGCAACGCCGCGUGAGUGAAGAAGGUUUUCGGAUCGUAAAACUCUGUCUUUUGGGGCGAACGUGAGUAUGGUGAACAAUCAUAGUCAGUGACGGUACCAAAGGAGGAAGCCACGGCUAACUACGUGCCAGCAGCCGCGGUAAUACGUAGGUGGCAAGCGUUGUCCGGAAUUAUUGGGCGUAAAGAGCGCGUAGGCGGGAUAGUCAGUCUGUUGUAAAAGUGCGGGGCUCAACCCCGUGAUGGCAAUGGAAACAGCUAUUCUUGAGUGCAGGAGAGGAAAGUGGAAUUCCCAGUGUAGCGGUGAAAUGCGUAGAUAUUGGGAGGAACACCAGUGGCGAAGGCGACUUUCUGGACUGUGUCUGACGCUGAGGCGCGAAAGCCAGGGGAGCGAACGGGAUUAGAUACCCCGGUAGUCCUGGCCGUAAACGAUGGGUACUAGGUGUGGGAGGUAUCGACCCCCUUCCGUGCCGGAGUUAACGCAAUAAGUACCCCGCCUGGGGAGUACGGUCGCAGACUGAAACUUAAAUGAAUUGACGGGGUCAUAGCUGUUUCCUG